This 539-nucleotide ribosomal RNA is filed under the name uncultured bacterium. Its description in RNAcentral is "bacterial SSU rRNA". It matches the Rfam family "Archaeal small subunit ribosomal RNA", at positions 725 to 1262 of the family's 1478-position model. The record is from RNAcentral.
AGUGAAUAGAUACCCUGGUAGUCCCAGCUGUAAACGAUGCGCGUUAGGUGUAUCGGUGACCACGAGUCACCGAGGUGCCGAAGGGAAACCGUGAAACGUGCCGCCUGGGAAGUACGGUCGCAAGGCUGAAACUUAAGGGAAUUGGCGGGGGAGCACCACAACAGGUGGAGCCUGCGGUUUAAUCGGACUCAACGCCGGGAAGCUCACCGGAUAAGACAGCUGAAUGAUAGCCGGGUUGAAGACUCUGCUUGACUAGCUGAGAGGAGGUGCAUGGCCGUCGUCAGUUCGUACUGUGAAGCAUCCUGUUAAGUCAGGCAACGAGCGAGACCCACGCCAACAGUUGCCAGCGUGUCCUCCGGGAUGGUGGGGACACUGUUGGGACCGCCUCUGCUAAAGAGGAGGAAGGAAUGGGCAACGGUAGGUCAGCAUGCCCCGAAUUAUCCGGGCUACACGCGGGCUACAAUGGUCAGGACAAUGGGUAUCAACACCGAAAGGUGAAGGCAAUCUCCUAAACCUGUCCUUAGUUCGGAUUGUGGGCU